ACAGAAGUUCAAAUCAUUAGGGGUAUCCCCAAAGUCACCUCCAUAAGCCCAAUGCUUACUACCAUCUGAGCUUUCCUUCAACAACCCCUGGUCAACCCAAUCCCAGAUGAAGCCUCCUUGGAGACCAAAUGUGCCAUCAAUUGCUUCCCAAUAUUCAUCUAUAUUUCCACUGCUGUUUCCCAUUGAAUGUGAAUACUCGCA
RNAcentral lists this unclassified non-coding RNA (201 nucleotides) under Hevea brasiliensis (rubber tree). Lineage: Eukaryota; Viridiplantae; Streptophyta; Magnoliopsida; Malpighiales; Euphorbiaceae. The record is from RNAcentral.